This 253-nucleotide ribosomal RNA is filed under the name uncultured bacterium. RNAcentral's name for it is "partial 16S ribosomal RNA". It matches the Rfam family "Bacterial small subunit ribosomal RNA", at positions 524 to 776 of the family's 1533-position model. The record is from RNAcentral.
UACGGGGGGGGUAAGCGUUGUUCGGAAUUACUGGGCGUAAAGGGCUCGUAGGCGGCCAACUAAGUCAGACGUGAAAUCCCUCGGCUCAACCGGGGAACUGCGUCUGAUACUGGAUGGCUUGAAUCCGGGAGAGGGAUGUGGAAUUCCAGGUGUAGCGGUGAAAUGCGUAGAUAUCUGGAGGAACACCGGUGGCGAAGGCGGCAUCCUGGACCGGUAUUGACGCUGAGGAGCGAAAGCCAGGGGAGCAAACGGG